CCCACACACUUCAGACUUCACAACCCGACCCUCUCUCUCUCUCUUCACACUGAAAUUUUCUUCACCACCACCUCCUAGAUUCCUCCAUCACCACCAAGCCGCGCCGCACCGCACCUUACCUUACUGCGAUUCCACCUUCCAACUCCUAGAUCCUCAUCAUGCUUGAUGCUUUGGGUGUUUUUAUUCUCAUCUCUAUGCAAUUGUGGAUUGUCAAAUCAAGGGUUUGUGAUUCGAAGUAGAUGACGAAUCUUCGUCUUGAAGAUCUACAUGAAGUUGAUCUACAUGAAUCUGUCACCAUUAAUGACGGGUAAGGGAAUGACUUCAAGAUGGCAUCCUUACCUCUUGCAUUUGCCGUAAAGUUACAAUGUUUUAGCCAUGUUUGGUAAAUUUGAGAAACUUUCCUUGCAUAUUGAUAUUUUGAUGCAUUUCUUGUUAUGUUUCAAUGGAAUUGUUGGCAAUUGGCAUUGACUUCGUUCUCCCAAGGAGAUAAAAAAGGCAUGGCUUUGUUCUAGUAAGGAGAUAACUUUUUUUGAAGGUUGUAAGGAAAGACUAUUUCUUAGACAACUUUUGUGUUUGAAAGAUGAGUAGCAAUAACUUAAAUUUAUAACUAUAAAGACAAAAGGCAUGGUAAGCCAUUCGUUCCUUAUGCAAUUUGAACAGAAAAGUGAAGGAAGAAAGCACCACAGCCUCAUAUUUAUCUGUGAGCAAUGCCAAUAAGUGAGCCACACAUGUUUUUAAAGCUCCAUUGAUGAAUUCUCAUAUUAACGUCCUUUCCGAGAUUUCUUCAUGGUCGCGGUAACACGACUCGUCGUCAAAGGUGAAUUCCUUUUUCAACGAGCAUGUUGCAAAGGUCUGUAAUUAAUAUUCUUCCAAACAAUAUUUAGAGGUUUUCUUGCUGGCCAAAUGGUUGUGUAAUCUAUUAGCAUUUCUAUUUCAUUCAAGUUUUUUGGCUAUAUUUUAAUUUUAGAGCCCUGAUAUAUGGAAAAGAAUUACAUUUAGAUUGUGAUUACUUGUAAACUCAUGUAUAUUUAUUGAUGUAACUUCAAUUGAGUUAUAUUAUUCAAAUGAUAUGUUGUACUAAAUGGGUGUAUGAGAUUUGGGAUAUUUUAGAUUCAAUGACAGGUCUGAUAUGAAAUUUGCUCAUAUGUUAUUUCAUAUUAGUUGCUAAGUUU
RNAcentral lists this long non-coding RNA (1172 nucleotides) under Medicago truncatula (barrel medic). RNAcentral's name for it is "lncRNA gene12980". The record is from RNAcentral. Lineage: Eukaryota; Viridiplantae; Streptophyta; Magnoliopsida; Fabales; Fabaceae.